AGUGAACGCUGGCGGUAGGCCUAGCACAUGCAAGUCGAACGGCAGCACAGUAAGAGCUUGCUCUUACGGGUGGCGAGUGGCGGACGGGUGAGGAAUACAUCGGAAUCUACUUUUUCGUGAGGGAUAACGUAGGGAAACUUACGCUAAUACCGCAUACGACCUACGGGUGAAAGCAGGGGAUCUUCGGACCUUGCGCGAUUGAAUGAGCCGAUGUCGGAUUAGCUAGUUGGCGGGGUAAAGGCCCACCAAGGCGACGAUCCGUAGCUGGUCUGAGAGGAUGAUCAGCCACACUGGAACUGAGACACGGUCCAGACUCCUACGGGAGGCAGCAGUGGGGAAUAUUGGACAAUGGGCGCAAGCCUGAUCCAGCCAUACCGCGUGGGUGAAGAAGGCCUUCGGGUUGUAAAGCCCUUUUGUUGGGAAAGAAAAGCAGCAGGUUAAUACCCCGCUGUUCUGACGGUACCCAAAGAAUAAGCACCGGCUAACUUCGU
This 491-nucleotide ribosomal RNA is filed under the name uncultured bacterium. Its description in RNAcentral is "partial 16S ribosomal RNA". It matches the Rfam family "Bacterial small subunit ribosomal RNA", at positions 29 to 506 of the family's 1533-position model. The record is from RNAcentral.